Molecule: ribosomal RNA, 1293 nt
Filed under: Triticum aestivum (bread wheat)
Lineage: Eukaryota; Viridiplantae; Streptophyta; Magnoliopsida; Poales; Poaceae
Description: partial small subunit ribosomal RNA
Source: RNAcentral
GGAUUAUAUCGACUUUAAAAAAAAUCCAUCCAUGAAGGUGUCGAGACGAUGUUGUUAUAAGAGACAAAAAAUUCACCGAGUUUUAUACAACGAAAGGCCCGUAGCAACGCACGGGCAUUCUACGAUUUUGUAGGAGGAUAUGAAACAUUUUCGACUAAAAUUAGCUGUCAUUUUGCUCGAUUCAGAGCUUAAUAAGCUAAAAGGAGGUCCCAUAUACCAUCAACCUGUCAAUGAAGAAACUUUAGCUAAUUCUGAUCUCGAGAUCCUGGAUAAUCCAUCUGACAUAGUCAAAAACAAACAUUCUGCCCCAAUCACUAUCAUACCCACGGACCAACGUGAAAUAUUUGCCGGCCUCUGCAACUACAUCAUGUUGAUCGAUGAUGCCUGGUGUUAGGAGAAGGUAUGAGUCCGGAGCUCGACACCUAAUUCAAUGGGCUUAAGUCUUAAGAAACUUCAGUGCAUACUUAACAUGGAGCAGCCUAUGGACAAUGAUUGCUUCAACACCGCCGUGCAUAUGCUGGCAUGUGACGAGGGAGUAUUGUUCACAGACCCUCCUAUACACUACAUGGAUCUACCAUUUUGUUCCAUGAUGCUAGAGUCAACACGAGGUCAGAAGUUUUGUGAGAAGGAAACUAUUCAGACGUUGGCAAUAUUAUUUGAUAGCUAGCUUGGGAUGGAGAACGACAUCUCAUCAUGCAACAAGAUUUAUCUUCCCUAUGCAUUCAUCGGCUGAUAAAUCUUGUACGUCACCGACAAAGAGGCACGUCGUCUAUAUAUUAUGGAUCGUAUUCAAACAUCACAAUUAUCAGAGGAUAAAAAAUUGAGGCAUGCAUUGAAAUUAAAAAGUUUUGUAAGGGAUUUCAAAGAAGCACUCGAAAUAAAGCUGCCUGGUUGGAAUUCUGAUAUAUCUAAAUGACAACAUUUUUUUCCGUUCGGUGUUCCAACGAGUAUAGACGGGAAUGUGUCUGGCUAUUUUGUUUUUCAUUUUAUGCUCUGGUGGAAUGGUAAAGAAUUGGUCAAGCUGGUUUGCGCUGUGAGGGAGCGGUAAAGAAUUGGUCAAGCCGGUUUGCGCUGAUGGGUAUGAAUUGAGAAAGCAUUUUUUAUUAUACUUGCUAAAACAUCGUGGGAAUGAAGCUAGAGGAAACUUUCCUGAUAUCGUGAAAAAAUUUCUUAAGCACAUCAUCUAGAUAUUAAUAGUUUUAUAACAGAUGUUCAGUUGGAACAUCGCUCAGUUUGUUACAUGGACAUGUCAUUAAUUUUUCUUUGUGUUAUCAAAUUACAUUGCAACAAUGG